Humulus lupulus (European hop) is the source of this 766-nucleotide long non-coding RNA. RefSeq lists it as uncharacterized. The record is from RefSeq and is a predicted model, not a curated record. The transcript is spliced from 3 exons. NCBI's taxonomy places the organism in Eukaryota, Viridiplantae, Streptophyta, Magnoliopsida, Rosales, Cannabaceae.
UAAAAUCUCUCAGCAGAGCUAAUUUUCUAGAUGGGUUCAUUUUUGGAACUGCUUCUUCAGCUUACCAGUUUGAGGGAGCUUCUGAUGAGGGAAAUAAAGGAGUUAGUAUAUGGGAUACAUUUACAAAACAACCAGGGAGAAUUUUAGACUUCAGAAAUGCAAACACAGCUGUUGAUCAAUAUCAUAGAUUUGAGGUAUGAUAUUUUUUUUUAAAAGAAUUAUAAGAGUUUUAAUGUCACAAGCAUAAGCUGAUUAUUCCAUUUUCUUUCCUUAUUUUUUUUUUAGUUUUCUUUUUGGGUAGCAUUUUCCUUUUUCAAUUUAAAAUUUAUAAAAAAAAGUCAAUUGUUGCGUGGGAAAGGAGUUUCAGCAAUAAAAUAACAUGAAAUUUGAUUAAUUCUUUCUGUUCGAGAGUGACUGAUGGGAGCUAAUUUGUAAUUUCUACAUGGGCCAAAUUAUUUCAAGGGCCAGGAGAAUCUCACGAAUAAGAAAAUUUAAUUUCAUAACACUAUUGGACCUAGUAGUUACUGUUUUAUGGAUAAUAAAGCUUCAAAUCCUCAUACUUUAGAAGAUUUAUUUGCACUGUUUGAUGUUUUUGGCUUGUCACCUACUCAUGAACUCGUGAAUAUUGGUUAUUACAUUACAUCUUAUGAAGCAUAUUACAUUAAAUCUUUCAUGUUUUUAGGAUUAAGAGUUUUAUCUUUGUAUUAUUAGGAUAGUUUCAGAGUUAAGAUUGUGUAAAGACCUAACAAUAACAUUGUAAGACUUG